AAUCAGUCUUUGUUUUCUCUCUGAGUUUCUAGGGUUUUCGCCGCCGCUAUUCAACAUCAUCCCUUCGUUGAACUUCAAGCCACCAAGCCACCGUUGGUUUUUUCGUUCUCUCCUUAUAGCUCUAUAACACAAACGUUUUCAAUGGCGAACAUACCCUCAAGAACGUUUUCAAUGCUGUUGUAACCAACAGAGUUUUAUUUUGGUUCAAGGAUUCUUCCACUUAAUACAAGGAAAAGAUGCAAUUCACACAAGGAGUUCAAAACAUUCAUGUUGAUGGGAACACACAAGGAACUAGGAGCUUUCAAGAUCAUUCUGUACCUUCUCAACCUAAUGAUACAGUCAUGGAGCAAGACACUCCAACAGCAACAGCACCCAUUGAACCAACCGCACCACUUCCUCCUAUUAGUCGGAAGAAAAGAAGAGCUAAU
Long non-coding RNA from Vicia villosa (hairy vetch), 428 nucleotides. RefSeq lists it as uncharacterized. The record is from RefSeq and is a predicted model, not a curated record. Lineage: Eukaryota; Viridiplantae; Streptophyta; Magnoliopsida; Fabales; Fabaceae. The transcript is spliced from 5 exons.